AGCCCUUAUUGCCACCAUGUAAAAGUCUGGCUGCCCUGACGGUGCCAUGCUGGAGAAAUCAUGAGGAGAGACCACACAGAGAAAGAUGCCCAAGGAGACUUGGCUGUCCCAUUCCCCCCCCCCCCCCACCCCCAGCUGUUCAAGUCUUCUUUGCCUAGGACUUACACACAGGAGUCCAGAAGCCUUUAAGAUGCCCAGACACCAUCUGACUGCAACUUCACAUGAGAACCUGAGCCGGAACCACUCAACCAAGCUGCUACUGAAACUAUGAGAGAUGACAAGUGACUAUUAUUCCUUUAGCCAAUAAGUUUUGGAGUGUUGGAUCUAUGUUAGCAUCAACCGAUAACUAAUACAGAUUUCGGUACCUGUAAGUGGGGAGGGGUGGGGGAGGUGAUGCUGUAACAAAAAACUAAAAACACAGCAGCGGCUUUGAGGACAGAAGUUGGAAGCGUAUGGAAGAAACUGUGGAAUCUGAUGUUCUUCAAGGAGGCCACCUAUGAGGGCUUAAAGGAAACCCACAGAUCAAGAGGAACUCUACAGGAAGAGCUGUAUUUGAGAAAUUCGUCCGGGGAGCCUCAUCUGAACCUGGACCUGAUUAGAUGACAAGGCCUAGGACUUCAAGUUGAUGCUGCAGCAUAAUGAGACUUGGGGACCUUGGAAAGAGAACAGCUCUCUGUUAAAGCUACCUUUGCCUGCCAGAGGAAUCAAAGAAUCCAAAGUGUCUCAAAACAGGGCCGGAAACACGCAUUAAGGAACAACAUGGAGAGAAAAUGCAGGCCAACUGCUCUGAUGGGGACUCUCAAUACCUCUGGAGAGGGGACUUCCCCGGGACUACAGCUGUUCAAGAAUAACUGCAGAGAGCCAGGUGGGAGGUCGUUUGCAAAAACAACACAGCCUGUAAAAUAAAAUGGAAUGACAUAAAAGAAAAUAACACCAUAUGAAAUAAAAUAAUAAAAUGGCCAAGCUAAAUUAAUGUCAGAGGACCCAACACCCACUCUUAGUCUCAGAGUAUCCACCUGUCCAGCCCUAGCCAGUUGACGUGGUCCACCCAGGCCCUCAGAGCAAUGGGGAUCAUCCUGGCAAAACAGUAAGAUGAAGUGGGGUCUGUGUUGACACCACAGCCCGCGCUGGCACCUGUUCUGCUGUACUUGGCUUUGGGGCCCAAGUGAGCAUGGAGCUGAUGCUGAAUUUCAUUACCCUUCCCACCAAAGAAUAACAAACCUCCACUCUUUCCCUAUUACAU
Molecule: long non-coding RNA, 1243 nt
Organism: Prionailurus viverrinus (fishing cat)
Lineage: Eukaryota; Metazoa; Chordata; Mammalia; Carnivora; Felidae
Exons: 4
Source: RefSeq, a predicted model, not a curated record